AUUGGACUCUAUGAACAGACAGGUGGAAUAGACACUUACAUAUGUAUGGACCUUAUGCAUGAAGGGCUGCCUUCAGAUGUCCUCUAAAGGUGGGUAUAGUUACUUAUCUCCUUGACAUCUGCUGGGAGGGCAUUCCACAGGGUGGGUGCCACUACCAAGAAGGCCCUCUGCCUGCUUCCCUGUAGCUUCACUUCUGGCAGUGAGGGAACCAUCAGAAGGCCCUCGGAGCUGGACCUCAGUGUCCGGGCUGGAGGAUGGGGGUGGAGAUGCUCCUUCAGGUAUACAGGGCUGAGUCAAUUUAGGGCUUUAAAGGUCAGCACCAACACUUUGAAUUAUGAUCGGAAACAUAAUGGGAGCCAAUGUAAGUCUUUCAGGACUGGUGUUAUAUGGUCCUGGUGGCUACUCCCAGUCACCAGUCUAGCAGCCACAUUCUGGAUUGGCUGUAAUUUCUGAGUCACCUUCAAAGGUAGCCUCUUCUGCACAUGGCAGGCAGCACAUUUGGUCCUAGAAACCAAAACCAGUAUACCCACAAUUCCUUGCAUUGCCGGGGAAUUGUGGGUUCCUCUGUGGCCCAAAAGGCAGAAGGGAAAUUGUAUGCAGAAUAAGGGGAAGGAAAAUGCCUCCUUUAACUUUACAUAACAUCUAUCAGCGGGAACUGCCCACGGUUUCAUACACAGCGGCACCAAACUGAAGGCAGGCUGCUCAUUUCCAGCUCUGAAAUAAGAGGCCUUUUCAUUCAGUCAGCUAAGUGUUUCCCCUCCUUCCGUGAGUGGGAAGGAAACCUGUCAAACUGCUACCAGCCUCUCAUCCUGGUUAAAUCGGGGAAUGUUCUUGCCUUUAUUAUUUCCCUCCAUUUUCCACUGGUGCACUGACAUUGUCGUGAUAUUAUCUUCCUCUUUUAUCUAUUCCAGAUUUUAUUAGGUGGCGGUGGUGGCGAGGGGGGACCUUAACUGAUCAGAAAGUCACAUAAAAUCCCUGCACUAUAUUUCCAUUACGUUAACCGCGAGGCAUUCCCGCUGGGACGCAGGCAGCAUUUCGCAGUCCCUCAGGAACAGUAAGAUUCCAUCUGUCGAGGCUCUGAGUGCUUCCAAGAUGGCGUCUGUUGAAAUUUCCAGUUCAACCCCUUGAGUGUAAAUUUAAAAAGGGAGGAGGAGGGGUGGACUCUGUGUUAUUCAGUCCAUGGGUCAUGAGGCUUGUUGCUGCAGUUUCUCCUCACUCCGUUUUUUAAAAAUUAAAAAAGGCCUGUCAUUAAUUAUCUGCCUUUGCUGGUCUCCAUAGGAACAUAGGAAGAUGCCUUCUGCUGAGACAGAUCAAUGGCCUUCUAGCUCAGGGCACUGAGCGGCAGCGGCUAUCCAGGGUUUCAGACAAAAGGACAUUCCCAGUCCUACUUGGAGAUGCCAGUGCUUGAAUCUAGAACCUUCUUCAGUCAAGGCUAAUGUUCUACCACUAAGCUACAGCCUUUGCCUUUCACGGUCUGCUAUCCCAGAGCUCUUGCCUCAGAUUCAUUUGGUAGGGCAGCCAUACGUCUGGGAUUUUCUGGACAUUGCUGGGAUUUCAAAAGCCAAAGUGACGUCCGGGGAAAUUUCCAGAAGGUGACAGUUUGUCCUGAAUCUUCAGCAAGUAAACCAAGAAAAUGUGUUCUUUUGGUGUUUUCCGGGGGGGGGGGGGGGAGAGGCUCACCUCAAUUUUGAGGUGUCCUGGUUUUUACUCUUUGAAAUAUGGGGAACCCUACAUUUGGGCCUCCUCAUCUUCACAGAAAUUGUUGCCCCUACGCAGUGAAGGC
Non-coding RNA from Podarcis lilfordi (Lilford's wall lizard), 1783 nucleotides. The record is from the annotation of a GenBank genome assembly. NCBI's taxonomy places the organism in Eukaryota, Metazoa, Chordata, Lepidosauria, Squamata, Lacertidae.